Molecule: ribosomal RNA, 93 nt
Filed under: Porphyromonas gulae
Lineage: Bacteria; Pseudomonadati; Bacteroidota; Bacteroidia; Bacteroidales; Porphyromonadaceae
Description: partial 16S ribosomal RNA
Rfam family: Bacterial small subunit ribosomal RNA
Source: RNAcentral
GGGCGCACUAGGGUAAUACCGGUGACUGGGGCUAAGUCGUAACAAGGUAGCCGUACCGGAAGGUGCGGCUGGAACACCUCCUUUCUGGAGUUC